GAUGAAGAACGUAGCGAAAUGCGAUAAGUAAUGUGAAUUGCAGAAUUCAGCGAAUCAUCGAAUCUUUGAACGCACAUUGCGCCCGCUGGUAUUCCGGCGGGCAUGCCUGUUCGAGCGUCAUUUCAACCCUCAAGCCCCCGGGUUUGGUGUUGGGGAUCGGCUCUGCCCUUCUGGGCGGUGCCGCCCCCGAAAUACAUUGGCGGUCUCGCUGCAGCCUCCAUUGCGUAGUAGCUAACACCUCGCAACUGGAACGCGGCGCGGCCAUGCCGUAAAACCCCAACUUCUGAAUGUUGACCUCGGAUCAGGUAGGAAUACCCGCUGAACUUAAGCAUAUCAAUAAGCGGAGGA
Molecule: unclassified non-coding RNA, 348 nt
Filed under: soil metagenome
Description: partial contains 5.8S ribosomal RNA, internal transcribed spacer 2, and large subunit ribosomal RNA
Rfam family: 5.8S ribosomal RNA (bases 1-120)
Source: RNAcentral